Molecule: long non-coding RNA, 7450 nt
Filed under: Phaseolus vulgaris (common bean)
Lineage: Eukaryota; Viridiplantae; Streptophyta; Magnoliopsida; Fabales; Fabaceae
Description: long non-coding RNA (PVUL_LNC001480)
Source: RNAcentral
CACACAACAUCCAAACUCUAGUCUUUCUUCUUCCUUUGGAAACAAACAGACUACAUUGCUCUCUCAACUGCGGCGUGACUCCAUCUCUUGGCAUAGGAAGACGUUUAUCUUGGUAGAGAUUGAUGGUGUCUCUAACGAAUUGGUGGUGGCUUCUCUUGACGGUUCUCUAUUCGAAGAAGAAGGUAAAUAAUUUUGUUUUGGUUUACAUAUUUAUAGUUUUAUUUUUAUCAUGGAUUUUCGUUUUCAUAGUACAUAUGUUGUGAUUCCUGCAAUUCGCUAGGUUUAUGCAACGGGAAAUCUGCACUUUGUUUUUUUUUGUCUACCCAAAAUAUUGAAUCCGCAAAACUCUUAAAUUGGUUCAGAAUAUUGAAUCCGCAAAACUCUUAAAUUGGUGCAUCUGUAAAUUUUUCGGAUUGGUGAGUCUGAUAAUCUUCAAGAUUUAUGGAUUUGUAGUAUGUUUUCCGAUUUCAUAAUCUAUAAUAAAAAAAUGUAUCCGGAAUUACAAAUCCAUAAUUCAAAAAAUGAAUGAAACUCCCUAAAUUCUAACGUGUGUCCUAUUAAUUUUUAAAUUUCAGAAUUGUCCUUUAUUCCGUAAUUAAAAAUUACAUUAUGAAAAACGAGAUGCAUAAUAGAUUUUUUAUGUUCCAAAAAUAAAUUUUCUAAUAUUAUUAAAAAACCAAAAUCUCAUUCUAAAAAGAUAAAUCUGAAAUACAAAUAAUACAUUCCAAAAUAAAUUCUACAAAAUCAAAUCUGAAAACAUAUUUUGGAAAAAAAAUUUAGAAAACAAAAAUCCAGAAACAUAUUUUAAGAAGACUAUUAUGAAAAAUUAUUCCAAAAAGCUAUUUCAAAAAACCUGAUCCAUAAAAGUGUUCUAGAAACGCAAAUUCAAAAUUAUAUUAUGAAAUACAUACAUUUGACUUACAUUCCCUCCUACUUAAAAACAAAAGAGGACACUUUUUUUCAUUUCACAACAAUGAUAAGGUGCAGGUUCAGAUUUAUUUGAUGGUGGAAACAAAAGGACAACUUCUUCUUACACCCAAUCAUUUUUAACUUGCACCCAACAUAACUUUUUAUUUCCAAAAAUGCCCUUCAUUCUGAAAAUAAAAAUCCAAAAUUAAAAAUAAUACAUUAUAGAAAAGUAUAUUCAGAAUUUAAAAUUCAAAAUCUCAUUCUCGAUAAAAAAAAAUCCAGAAACAUUAUGAAAAAAGGAUCCAUAAUGUAUAAUCCUAUUUAUUUAAGGGUAUCUUCGUCUUUUCAUACUGAAAUUUGGUGCAGAAAGUAAUUGCCAACCAAAGCCUUAUUUUUGUCCAGUUCAGAAGCAUUGAAUUGUCACCUUUUGUUCUCUUCUUUUUGCACCCCAUUAUUUUCUUCUGCAGCUCAUAAAUACUAAAAUCCCUAUAUUGCCCUUUGUUUAAAAGUUCGUCCUGGAAUUGACCAUACGGAAACCUACAAUCCAAAACUUAGAAAAAAUAUACCAAAUUUCACAAUCCAAGUUAAGUUAAUUUUCACUUCUAAAUUUGGUAAUCCAGAAAAGAAAAUCUGGAAGUUCUUUUUUCUUAUACCAAAAAAGUGAUUUUUGAAUUAUAUAAUUAAAAAUAUAUUUUUAACUUUUAAAGUAACUCUUGGAUAAAAUCCAAAAAAUAUUUUUUUAAUAAAAAAACUUUAAUUUAAAACACACUUUUGAAUAAUUCAAAAAGUCAUUUUCUUGUAUAGAAAAAACUUUUAAAUACAAUUCAUAAGUAUGGUUCAAAUCCGAAUAUUUUUUCUGAGUCCACAACAUAACACAUGAAAAAAGAAAGAAAGAUAACCACACCAUAUCUGUCUCACUCAGUACCUCUUCAGCUCACUCAAACCUUCACCUCUUAACUCAUACCAAAAAAUAUUAAAAUUUACUAAAUAUUAUUGUAUAUUAAUUUUGCAUGCAUUUUUUGAGAAAUGAAAAAGACCAAGUUUUAUAGACUUAACUCUACAAGACUCCUUAAAAGACCAAGUUUUAUACCUCAAUUCCUUGCAAUAGUUUAUUGGCACCCCAUACACAACGUGAAAAUACCUUUUUAACCUUCUUGUGUCACCUCCAUAAAGUAGUUUUUGGAUUCUGUAAUCCAGACACGCACUUGAAAAAAGACUUCCAGAUUAUGUAAUACGAAAGCUAAUUACGAAUUUUGAAAAAAGAUUUCUGGAUUAUGUAAUCCGGAAGCUAAUUACGAAUUUGAAAAAAGACUUCCAAAAGAAUUAUUUUUGGAAAUAUAAAAAUGUAUGGAGGUGAAUAUAUGGAGGUGCAGGAAGAAACAACCUAGUUUAUCUCAGAAUCUUCAAAUAGAGAUAUGGGAAAUCUUCAACCUUAAGGAGCGGUGUAUAGAUGGAGGUGUAGGUGGAAAACGAAGGAAAUGAGAAGAAAAGAAAAAGUAAAAUGUGAGGUUAAGAAAAAAUAAUUUAUAAUACAUUUAAUUAAUGUGAUAGAAAAUAUUAAAUUAAUUAAAUAAUAUAAUAAAUUAUAAAAAUAUUCUUCAUUUAAUUUUAAUAAGAAUGGAUAUGAACUGAAAUUUAAAAAUGAUUAAUUUUAUAAAAGAAUUCAUUUAUAAAAUUUAUGUGAAUUUAAAGAAUAGUUAAACUUUUAAUUUUUUUGUCAAUAUUUAUUUUACAUGAAAACAAAAAAAUAAUUAGUAUUAUCAAAUUAAUAUUUAAUUAAACUUAAUUUUGUUUCAAUUCAAAUAAAAAAAUUAGAGUAAUUAAAAGUUGUAAGAUCAGUUUAAAUUAGAAGUGUAGAAGCAUUAUACCAAAAUAUAUUUUUAUGUGUCACAUUUUUUUAUUAUAUUUACUUCUAAUAUUAAUUUUAUGAUAUUUUUUUAUUAUUUAAAUUCAAAGUAAAUAUAAACUCAAUUCCCUUAAAAUGUUUUUAAAUCAAUAACAAAUAUUUUUUGGACAAUUUAAUUACAAAUACUAUAAAAGAAACAUAUUUAGUAUUUUAAAUUUAAAUAAUUUAUGUCACAUGAUACAAAUAUAAAACACAAAUUUUUUACACUAUUUUUAAUUUUUAUAAUUACGUAAUAAUAGAAACUAUUUAGAUAUUAAUAAUUUUUUAAUCUAUAAAAUAAUAUAUAAUUUAUUUAAUAUAAUAAAUAAUUAUUUUUAUCUUUAAAAUUAUUUUUAUUAAUAAUUUUCUUGUAGUACAUAUUAAUAAUAUAUACUACAAGAAAAUCAUUAAAUAAAAAUUAAUUUCAGAGAAAAAAAUUUAUUAAUUUUAAUAUUGAUUAAAUCAGAUAUUAUUUUAGAAACUAAAAAAUUUAUUAUAUCUAAAUUAGUUUCUAUUAUUCUAAUUAAAUAUCAAUUUAAAAACUAUUUAUCAAUAAUUUAGUUUUUAUAUUGACUAAUUUACAUACCAAAAAAAAUUAUAACAGUUAAUUAUUUUUAUCCUAAAAUUGAUUACUAUUUAAUGAUUUCAUUGUAAUGAUAUAUCUUAUUAUAGUUAAUUAAUUAUUAAAAAAAUAUACCAUAUAAAAAUUUAAAUUUACUAUAUAUUUUUUUAAAAAAACUCAUGAAAUAUAGUUAGCUUAAUAUAUUAAGUACACUUAUAAUCUGAUACAUAAAAAGGUUAUUUCUUAAUUUCUAUUUCUAGUUGUUAUUUAAAGAAAAAUAACAUUUUAACUAUAUAUAAUUAUUGGUAAAUAAAUAGUUUCUAUUAUUAAUAAAUAGUUUUUAAUUUAAUAUCUAAUUAAUUAAUAAAGUCAGUAUCCUAAAUAUACUUUUAAUUAAAUAAUUUAAAAUUAAUCUUGAGUGUAUGUAUUAGUAAAACAAUAAAUGCUAUUAUUUUAUAUUUACACACACAUAUGUUUUACUAUCACUUUUAGGUUUCGAAAUAAAUAUUAUCAACUUAAAGAUACUAUAAUAAACAAACUUAAAUUACCUUAAUUUUAUAAUUAGUAUAGAUAAAUUUAUUUUUAUUCAAUAUAACUAUGUUAAAUUUGAUUAGAUCUCAUAUUGAUUACUGUAAUUUUACUAUAUAACACGUGAAGCCUACCACAUUUUAUUGGGAAAAUCAUGAUAAUUUGAUCAGAAAACUAUCCAUAAUGAUCUUACCAACGAGAUUAUUUUUACUCAUAAAAAAAAAUUGUACUUUAUCCUUUAACACCUCAAAAGUAAUAAAGGACCAAGUACAAAUGAAACAAAAAAAAAAUGAGAAAAAGAAAAAAAAAAGAAAAUCAAGAGAAAGUUCUUAGGGGCUAUGCUGAGGCGUGGGAGAAGAGUGCUCCUUCCCACAAGGUCAUUCGGAUGGAAGAAAAAUUUGAAAAAAAUAAAGUUGAAAAGAUACUUCUAUCUGAACAACCUUUAGGCCUCCUUCUGUGUAAAGGAGCACCUAUAUGCACUGCCACACUUGCUGAAUUUAGUGAUCUACCUCCUCAAGUCAAAAGGCUUUUAAAAAAAAUUGGUGAUGUAUUCCCUAAGGAAGGACCCAUUGGACUCCCACCUUUUAGGGGUAUAGAACACCAAAUAGAUUUAGUUCCAGGAGCUAGUCUACCAAAUAAAUCGGCUUAUAAAACUAAUCCUGAGGAGACUAAGGAGAUAAAAUCACAAGUUCAAACAUUGUUGGAGAAGGGCUGGGUUCAAAAGAGUCUAAGCCCUUGUGUUGUACCUGUUUUGUUGGUGCCUAAGAAAGAUGACAAAUGGAGAAUGUGUUGUGGUUAUAGAACCAUCAAUAACAUCACCAUCAAAUAUAGGCAUCCAAUUCCUAGACUUGAUGAUAUUCUUGAUGAAUUGCAUGGGUCCACUAUAUUUUACAAGAUUGAUCUCAAAAACGGAUAUCACCAAAUAAGAAUUAAAGAGGGUGAUGAAUGGAAAACUGCUUUUAAGACCAAGUUUGGACUAGUUAGUGAUGCCUUUUGGACUCACUAAUGCACCUAUAACUUUCAUGAGGCUUAUGAAUCAUGUCCUUAGGGAUUGCAUAGGUAAAUUUGUAGUAGUUUAUUUUGAUGAUAUAUUAGUAUAUAGUCAAAGCCUAGAGUCCCACCUAAGUCACCUUAUGGAGGUUCUAUUAGUUCUUAGGAAUAAUAAUUUGUUUGCUAAUGUAGAUAAAUGCACUUUUUUAUGUAGAUAGUGUAGUGUUUUUAGGAUUUAUAGUCAACAAAAAGGGGGUUCAUGUUGACUCCAAGAAAAUCAAAGCCAUCCAAGAAUGGCCAACACCACAAAUGUAGGAGAUGUUAGGAGCUUCUAUGGCUUAACAAGUUUUUAUAGAAGAUUUGUUCCUAAUUUCUCAAUUCUAGCUUCACCACUCAAUGAGUCAGUGAAGAAAGAAACUCCAUUUUGUCAAACUGAGAAGCAUGAACAAGCCUUUCAAAGGUUAAAAGCUCAACUCACUAAUGCGCCCAUUCUAGCUUUACCAAACUUUCCAAAAACUGUUGAGCUAGAAAGUGAUGCAUCAGGAGUAGGAAUAGGUGUUGUGUUGUUGUAGGAUGGGCACCCAAUUGCAUAUUUUAGUGAAAAACUUCAUGGUGCAGCCCUCAAAUACCCCACUUAAGACAGAGCUUUAUGCACUUCAGAGGGUCCUGUAGACUUGGGAACACUAUCUAGUCUCAAAAGAAUUGGUCAUACAUAGUGAUCAUGAGUCUUUGAAAUAUUUGGAGGAUCAACACAAGUUGAACAAAAGACAUGCAAAGUGGAUGGAAUUUCUUGAGCAUUUUCCAUAUGUUAUCAAAUAUGGCAGAUGUUCUAUCAAUGAGACAUGCCCUCUUUUCUAAACUUGGAACCCAAAUCCUUGGAUUUGAAAACAUACCUGAACUUUAUAAAGAAGAUCAGGAUUUCGCUCCCACUUUUGCUAAGUGCCAACAUAGAGCACAAAGAGGUUUUUAUGUUUCGGAGGGGUACUUAUUUAAAGAAGGAAAACUUUGCAUACCUCGAGGAACACAUAGAAAACUCAUUGUAAAAGAAUCACAUGAAGGAGGACUCAUGGGCCAUUUUGGAGUUGAUAAAACUAUUGAGCUUUUAAAAGGAAAAUUUUUUUGGCCACACAUGAGGAAAGAUGUUCAAAGAUAUUGUCAUAUAUGCAUUUCAUGUUUAAAAGCUAAGUCUAAGACAAUGCCUCAUGGAGUCUACACUCCUUUACCUUUUGCGAAAAUAUAAGCAUGGAUUUCAUAUUAGGACUUCCUAGGACACAAAGAGGUUUUGAUUCCAUCUUUGUGGAAGUGGAUAGGUUUAGCAAGAUAACUCAUUUUAUAUCCUGUCAUAAAGUGGAUGAUGAUAACAACAUCUCUAGGCUCUUCUUCAGAGAAAUGAUGUAAGACUACAUGGUUUGCCUAAGACCAUAGUGUCGGAUAGAGAUCCUAAAUUUAUUGGCCAUUUCUGAAGAACUCUAUGGGAAAGGCUAGGAACUAAGUUGAACUUCUCAACUUCUUGUCAUCCUCAAACGGAUGGACAAACUGAAGUUGUAAAUAGAUAUCUUUCCACUAUGCUUAGGUCAAUCAUGAAGGGAAACCACAAAUCUUGGGAUGAGUACCUUCCUCAUAUUGAGUUUGUAUAUAAUAGAGUAGUUCAUAAAACUACUAAUAUUUCUCCAUUUGAGAUUGUGUAUGGAUUUAAUCCUCUUACUCCUUUGGAUUGGUUACCUCUACCUAAUCCACAAGAAUUUGUGCACAAGGAAGGAGUAACAAAAGCCGAAUUUGUAAAGAAAAUGCAUGAAAGGAUUAAAAACCAAAUACAGAAACAAAUAUAGAAACACAUGAAACAUAACAAUAAUGGGAAGAAAGAGAUGGUUUUUGAAGAGGGAGAUUGGGUUUGGCUUCACCUUAGAAAGGAUAGAUUUCAUAAUCAAAGAAAGUCUAAGCUUAGUCCCCGGGAAGAUGGUCCUUUCCAACUCCUCAAGAAAAUCAAUAAUAAUGCAUAUCAAAUUGACAUGCCUGAGAAAUAUGGAGUACAUACUACCUUCAAUGUUAUGGAUAUAACCCCUUUUGCAGGUAGUGAAGAUGAAUAGGCAGAACACAUGCGAUUUUAGGACAAAUCCUCUUUAAGAGGGAGGGGAUGAUGGAAGAAGGCCAAGCUCGGGCCCAAUUACUAGGUCCAUAGCAAGAAAGAUACAAGAAUACUAGGACUCCACUACUAAUGGCAAAGACACCCUUCUAUAUAUGUUAAAAAAUGUCAUAACCUAGUGUAAAUUGUAUAAAGUUGUUUAGGAUUUCAUGGGUCAUGUAUUGACAUAGUAGCAUAAAAUAAUUGGACCAAAUAUUUGGGCCAAGUAGCAUAGGUUUUUGGGCUUUUAUUUGGACCAAUAGUAAAAUAGGUCUAGUUGGAGUUAAAAUUAAUUGUGUUGGUGAAAAUUUUUGAAAUUCUGGAUUUGAGCAGUUUGAUGUGUUAAGAAAAAAGUGAAAAAAAAGAAGUAUAUCCAAAUUCAAAAUAGAAAAAAAUGGUAAAUGAAAAAUGGACAGAAUGCAAAAAAACACGACUCUUGAAAAUUUGAAUUGGC